RNAcentral lists this ribosomal RNA (580 nucleotides) under Glomeromycotina sp. RNAcentral's name for it is "eukaryotic LSU rRNA". It matches the Rfam family "Eukaryotic large subunit ribosomal RNA", at positions 110 to 629 of the family's 3401-position model. The record is from RNAcentral. Lineage: Eukaryota; Fungi; Glomeromycota.
CAAAUUUAAAAUCUACCUGGUUUCCAGGUCGAGUUGUAAUUUGAAGAUACGUUUUUGACGUUCCGGGUUGAACUAAAUCCUUUGGGAUAAGGUAUCAUGGAGGGUGAGAAUCCCGUAUAUACCAACCRUAGGGAUGUUAUUUAAUACGUUUCUAAGAGUCGAGUUGUUUGGGAAUGCAGCUCUAAAUGGGUGGUAAAUUUCACCUAAUGCUAAAUAUAAGCGAGAGACCGAUAGCGAACAAGUACAGUGAUGGAAAGAUGAAAAGAACUUUGAAAAGAGAGUUAAAUAGUAYGUGAAAUUGUUGAAAGGGAAACGAUUGAAGUCAGUCAUGCCMGUGGGAAUCAACUUWGAGGAAACUCUGAGUGCACUUYUUCGCUUGGCAGGUCAACGUCGAUUUUGGAUGUCAUAAAAUGAUUGGGGGAAGGUAGCUCYYUCGGGAGUGUUAUAGCCCUUGGUAGAUGUGAUGUCUGGGAUCGAGGAUUGCAAUGGAUACCCUUUGGGGCUAGCCGCCUGAUCUCUAAUCGGUAUUGGGUUACGGAUAGCAUGCUGACCGUGAUCUAAUUAUUGGUUAAAAGGUUAG